CUCAGCUCCGCGCCGCCCGCCGACGGCGAGCCGGGCGCCGAGGGCGAGCCCACCAGCUGCCCGCCCCGCGAGCAGCCGUACGAGGCCGGCGGCAAGAAGGGCGCGGCGGCGGCGGCGGCGGCGGAGCCGGGCGGGCCCUGCAGCUGUGCAUCUCUUUCGAGGAGGGUGGCACUGGAAGAUGCUGAUUUGAAGUCUGACUGGACAACAGGCAUCUAAAACAAGCAGUCUGAGGGGAAAUCACAGCUGGAAAGGACAUUUAAAGGACAAGAAGCAGGAGGGAGAGGAGCAGUCAGUGGUAUUGCCUUAUCGCUCGAAAUUGCUAUUUUUGCUGGCGUGAUUUGCUGUAUUUGGGCAAAGGCAGAGCCAUCUAGAGGAACAGUCCAGCUACGGCGAGGCGGGGAAGGCAGUUUCCCUCAGAGGCAUGGUAUGCUGCCUUCGAGUUUUCUUUAGUUGAUUUCUCCUCUUCCAACAAAGGAAAAGGAGAGCUCCGGGAAACAUCUGCCUUUCAGAAACGCACCAAGAAGCUGGCAAGUGAGGUGCCAAAACGCAAAACUGAAAUCAGUUUCAAGAGGAAGAGAACUGCAGCAUCUGGAUGGGACAGUUCAGCUGUACUCAGCCGACCUCCAAGACCAAGUGGAGAUCCCUGCCUGCCUUACUUCUGCAGUGUCUCCCACCCUUCCAUGCAAUGAGGUUCCUGGUUCACUAUGGUGGAUACAAUGAGGAAAACAGUGCACUUGAAGCCACCUGUGUCACUGGGCACGUACGGGAGUUUGUAGAAGAGAGAAUACCAGUGGUGCAAGGAGUACAAGCCAUUCAAUGAGGAGAAUGUGCAGGUACCAUGGGCUUUUCCUUGCUUGGCUCUUUAGCCCAUGGUGCCAGCCUCCCUCUCGGGGCUACAGGACAGCCAGGGACCAGGUCGGUGCCAGGGGGGCAGCCGGCACCGGUGCUGUUUCCACCGCCAGGGUCUGCUCUGGUCCCCACCGCCAUGACCCACCAGCAGUCAGGGCACUAAUGACUGCUUGCUGAACCGGUGCCUAAGCCUUGGACUCCUGUUGCUUCCCGUGGGGCUGAUGGAGUGCAUCAGGAUUAGACCCAUCCCAGUACUGCCUUGAGGAGGGGGAUUGCAUUUGGGAUGGAGAUGGCACCUUGCCCUGACACGGGCCUGAGAAGAUUUCUGCCGAGAAGCUGAGGUUGGUUUUUUUCUAAUCUCCUUGCAGUGUGAGUGACCCCCUGAGCUAUUUAAUCUGAUUUGCCUCGCUCCGCCUCCCCUGGCUUAAUUGCUUGUGGCAGCCCAGUGGGGACAGCUGCAGUUUGCACUGGGCCACUGCAGAGAAGUGGCGGGGGGCAUGUUCAGUUGCUAAAGUGCUUUGGGCUCAUACAUUCACGAGAGCGGGGGAAAAAAAUGUUCAGGCUGGGGAGGAAAACAGGGGGGACAACAACAGAGAAAUCAUUGUGUGAAGGUGCCCACUGGGGCAGAGGGGCUGUCUGUGGCCACCGUUGCCAUGCUUGCCUGGGCAGCAGCUUGAGGAGCCCUCUCCUCUCCCCUCCUCCUGCCCCAGGGAGCGCCCCUGCUGCCAGGAGCCUUCAUUAACAGUCCUGCUUGGGGCUCCCACUGUUCUCCAGGGCUGGCAAGUGCUUCCUGGGCAGCCCCAGCCUCAGGUAGCUGCUCCACUUCCAGGAGCUGAGAUCCUAACUGGGAGGGCAGGGUUUAAUCCCUGUGCAUCUCAGUUUCUUUUUCUUUUCUGUGUUUCCAUUUCUGUAUUUAUUUAUUUGUAAUUUUAUUUUCUUUUAUUUUUGGAAGUCUGCACACUUCCUGUGGAGGUCCUGAUGUAAUUUGGGAGAUAAGAAGGGAGGGAGCACCUAAGGUAUGGCUGCUUUCCUUGAGUUGCUGUCCCACUGGGUAGCAUGAUGAUGAGGUACCCAGGAGGCACAGGUUUCCCUCUUAGCCCUGCUAGGAUAUGGGAUUUUUUAAGAGGAUAAAACUGCUGUAAUGUUCUUAUCUGUGGAGUUUUGGAUGGUAGGCUACUUCCAAGGGGAAGGUGGGGAGCUCCUUGGGUUAAGGCAGAAAGCACUGGCUGGUGAGCCAUCCCCACCAUGGGCUCCUGGAGGCUCCUGUCCCUCUGGAGAUGCCUCAUGAGGAGCUCUGGCCAUCCUUGGUGGGGAAAGUCCCCAGAUACAGGUAGUUCCUGUAGCUCUGCAACCUCCACCUGCCUUCCUGUCAGCAUGGUGAAGCAGAAGCCACCCUGGGGAAAGCCCUGAGGACCUUGGAGGUUGAGGGACAAACAGAAACCCGUGUUGAUUCAAAACAACAAUGAAAAAACUCUGUGAGGAUGGUUCUUGCUGGCCCCAGCAGCCUGGCAGUGCUCACAACAGAAGAGUCUCUUUCAGAGUCCCUAGAAAGGAGCAACUGGCUUGUGACAAGAGCUGUAGUGUGCAUCUGAAGGGGCUGGAGCCAGCAGACACCCCCCAGACCAGCCAUGCCAACAGCCCCAUUAGCCUUUCCCCAACAUGAACCCUGGAUCCAUUCUCUCUUCCACCGUCAAACUGCUGCUUGUGCCGGGGCUCCCUCCCUCCCUCCUACUGUCCACGUGGGGCACAGCAGAGUCCCAAGCCAGAAGAUGGGCAGAAAGAGGAAGCCCUGAUGGUCUGUGUGUCUUUAAUGACAGGUAUGGAGCUGCUUUGUGGCCGUUGUACCCCCAGGGGUGCUGACCCCACCAACACCCAGGCUUUGCCGUGGGCAGGUAGCUUGAUGAUGCUUUGGCAACUGUCCUUCCCACUCCCAGCCCCUCCAUUCGAUGAGACUUCUUUCUGCAGAAGCUGCAGGUUGCAGACUCCCAGCUAAAAGCCGAGGAAUUUGCUGUACCCCGGGAGGAGCAGGCGAUGACCUACAGCGACAGCAUUGUCAGGGAGAGGAGGGAAGUCAUCCCAGCGUGGAGCAUCAAAGCCAGCAGUUGUGCUGAUGAUGCAGAAGGGAGGAAGCCAGAAGGCAGCACCCCUCGCCCCAAAGCCUUGCAGCAGAGAACACACUUCGCUCCUUCCUCUUGCAGAAAGCUACCUACCAAACUACUACCCUGCCACCAAACUGGCAGCAACCCAGGCAGAGAAAUUGGAGGGGCUGCAGGCUCUUGCUGAGCUGGAGAAGGGGCUGUCUUAUCACCAGCGUCUUCCAGCUGCUGCUCAGACUGCUGCAACAG
This is a long non-coding RNA of Falco peregrinus (peregrine falcon), 3194 nucleotides long. RefSeq lists it as uncharacterized. The record is from RefSeq and is a predicted model, not a curated record. The transcript is spliced from 8 exons. NCBI's taxonomy places the organism in Eukaryota, Metazoa, Chordata, Aves, Falconiformes, Falconidae.